Molecule: ribosomal RNA, 2156 nt
Filed under: human gut metagenome
Description: bacterial LSU rRNA
Rfam family: Bacterial large subunit ribosomal RNA
Source: RNAcentral
GGUUGUCGUGAUGGGCGUAUGGUGGAUGCCUUGGCAGACAGUACCGAUGAAGGACGUGUGGGGCCGCGAUAGUCCUGGGGGAGCCGCCGACAUGGCUUUGAUCCCAGGGUGUCCGAAUGGGGCAACCCGCCAGCCGUCAUGGGCUGGCACCGCACUUGUGCGGGGGGUACGCAGGGAAGUGAAACAUCUCAGUACCUGCAGGAGAGGAUACUCCGUGAGUAGUGGCGAGCGAAAGCGGAUGAUGGCUAAACCGUGCGCGUGUGAUACCCGUCGGGGGUUGCGCGCAUGGUGUCGUGGGAACGCCUGUCCAACGGCCGACGCCGUUGGCUGUGGUGAUAAAUGCAUGCGUGAGGCGAACCGGGUUGGAUACCGGGCCGUAGAGGGUGAUGGCCCCGUAGCCGUAUGCGCGUGCACCAUGGAUGGUGUCUCCCGAGUAGCGCGGGACUCGUGGAAUCCCGUGUGAAUCCGCCCGGACCGUCGGGUAAGCCUGAGUAUACCUGUCUGACCGAUAGCGUACGAGUACCGUGAGGGAAAGGUGAAAAGCACCCCGGGAGGGGAGUGAAAGAGUUCCUGAAACCGUGCGCCCGCGAACCGUCGGAGCCCCCUUGGUGGGGUGACGGCGUGCCUAUCGAAAAAUGAGUCUGCGAGUCAGUGGCAUGUGGCGAGCAUAAGCCGUGUGGUGUAUGCGUAGCGAAAGCGAGUCUUAAAAGGCGUCUUUUCAGUCGCGUGUCCUGGACCCGAAGCGGGAUGAUCUAGCCCUGGUCAGGUUGAAGCGCGGGUAAGACCGCGUGGAGGACCGCACCCACUUAGGUUGAAAACUGAGGGGAUGAACUGGGGUUAGGGGUGAAAGGCCAAUCAAAUUCCGUGAUAGCUGGUUCUCUUCGAAAUGCAUUUAGGUGCAGCGUCGGUUGAUUGCGUGUGGGGGGUAGAGCUACUGGAUGCUUGCGGGCCCGUGCCGGGUACCAACAGCAACCAAACUCCGAAUACCCAUCGCGUCUAUUCCGGCAGUGAGUCGGCGGGGGAUAAGCUCCGUCGUCGAGGGGGAGACAGCCCUGACCGUCGUCUAAGGUCCCCAAGCGCGUGCUAAGUGGGAAAGGAUGUGGAGUCGCAUAGACAGCCAGGAGGUUGGCUCAGAAGCAGCCAUCCUUGAAAGAGUGCGUAACAGCUCACUGGUCUAGUGGUUCCGCGCCGACAAUGUAGCGGGGCUCAAGCACGCCACCGAAGACGCGGAUGCGGCCGUAUGGCCGUGUGGUAGGAGAGCGUCCCACACCGGGGCGAAGCGGCGGGGGAACCCGGCCGUGGACUGUGUGGGAGUGAGAAUGCAGACAUGAGUAGCGAGAGCAGGGUGAGGAUCCCUGCCGCUGGAAGACCAAGGGUUCCAGGGCCACGUUCGUCGUCCCUGGGUGAGUCGGGUCCUAAGGCGAGGCCGACAGGCGUAGUCGAAUGGAUGAACGGGUCGAUAUUCCCGUACCGGCUUUCGGACCGACCAACAGCCCGUGUGAACAAGGGCCAUCCGAUACGGUUGAUGGGGGCUUCGGCCUCCUGAUUCCGUUGCUGUUUGGCCUGGACGCGCAUGGGUUGAGCGUUUCAGGAGUGACGCGGACGGGUAGCCGGCCGGGGAGGUGGUUUUCCCUGGUCAAGCGUGUGGCCCCGCCCCCAGGCAAAUCCGGGGGCUUCAUGGGGUGAGGCGUGAUGAUGGGCGCUUUCAUGGCGUGAUAUCCGGUGAUCCCGUCGGCCGAGAAAAGCUUCGGCGCGAGGUCCGUUGCCGCCCGUACCCCAAACCGACACAGGUGGUCUGGUAGAGUAUACCGAAGCGAUCGAGCGAAUCCUGGUCAAGGAACUCGGCAAAUUGCUCCCGUGCCUUCGGCAUAAGGGAGACCCCCGGCCGUGCCGGCCCCUUGCGGGUCGUGGGCGGCUGGGGGUGGCACAGGCCAGGGGGUAGCGACUGUUUACCAAAAACACAGGUGCAUGCCAAGACGCAAGUCGCCGUAUAUGCACUGACGCCUGCCCGGUGCCGGAAGGUUAAGAGGAUCCAUCAGCGUCCCCUCGCGGGAUGCGAAGUGGUGAAUUCAAGCCCCGGUAAACGGCGGUGGUAACUAUAACCAUCCUAAGGUAGCGAAAUUCCUUGUCGGGUAAGUUCCGACCUGCACGAAUGG